This is a long non-coding RNA of Trachemys scripta elegans, 315 nucleotides long. RefSeq lists it as uncharacterized. The transcript has 3 exons. The record is from RefSeq and is a predicted model, not a curated record. NCBI's taxonomy places the organism in Eukaryota, Metazoa, Chordata, Testudines, Emydidae.
UCUAGUCCAGUAUUCUGUCUGCAACAGUGCCCAUCACUAGAUGCCCCCAAAGAAGGUGCAAGAACUCCACAGAAGGCAGAUGUGGGGUACAACAGAAGGGCUGAUGAUGUGGAACCCCACAUAAGAACACCCUGCUGGCAGAAAAGCAAUUACCCAGAUCUACUCUGGAAUCUCUUCAGGGGAAAAGAAUGAAGCUUGUUCCACAAGCAAAUCACCAACACUUCACAAACUACGUCCAUCACAGAAGAGAGAACUGCGUUGCCAACUGCAGCAUCAAAGCUAGAGGCAUCAACCAAGGCAUAGUGUCUAGAGAAG